UACAGAGGUGGCGAAUGUUGUUCGGAUUUACUGGGCGUAAAGCGAUUGUAGGCGGUUAAGAAAGUUAGAUGUGAAAGCCCCGGGCUCAACCCGGGAAUUGCAUUUAAAACUCCUUAGCUUGAAUUAUGGAGAGGUUGACGGAAUUCCGAGUGUAGAGGUGAAAUUCGUAGAUAUUCGGAGGAACAUCAGUUGCGUAGGCGGUUGACUGGCCAUAUAUUGACGCUGAGAAUCGAAAGCGUGGGGAGCAAACAGG
RNAcentral lists this ribosomal RNA (253 nucleotides) under uncultured bacterium. RNAcentral describes it as "partial 16S ribosomal RNA". It matches the Rfam family "Bacterial small subunit ribosomal RNA", at positions 524 to 776 of the family's 1533-position model. The record is from RNAcentral.